This 200-nucleotide unclassified non-coding RNA is filed under the name Hydnum sp. RNAcentral describes it as "partial internal transcribed spacer 2". The record is from RNAcentral. Lineage: Eukaryota; Fungi; Basidiomycota; Agaricomycetes; Cantharellales; Hydnaceae.
UUAAGUUCAGCGGGUAAUCCCACCUGAUCCGAGGUCAGACAAUUGAACAGUAUGUCCAAGGGACAAUUAGAAGCAAUCCAAACAUAAGCUCUGGCCAGUCCUAAGACUGUCCUCAGCGUCAGAUAAUUAUCACGCUGAGUAGAACCAAACCCCCCAUAUUAGGACCAGCUAAUACAUUUAAGACCAGCCGCAUUGGCACA